This is a long non-coding RNA of Lolium rigidum, 712 nucleotides long. RefSeq lists it as uncharacterized. The record is from RefSeq and is a predicted model, not a curated record. Lineage: Eukaryota; Viridiplantae; Streptophyta; Magnoliopsida; Poales; Poaceae. The transcript is spliced from 2 exons.
GCGCCUUCUCCUUGGGCUGAAGUGGCCGGGCCACAAGAAGCGAACCAAGGCAGCGGCGGGCGCUACCACCGUUCCUGGAAAGGAGACCAAGGACGGUGUAGGGAAUGGUUUUCACUGAGGGUGCUGUGGAGGGCUUGGGCGGAACCGGCGUUCAUGCUUCGUGCUACAACCCAUGCUCCAGAUUAGCAGAUUGCCGGCUCCUGUCACGAUUAAGAAACGCGAGUGUGCCACGAAGCAGUCAAUGUGCAGAGAAAACUACAUCUUCGUGUCACCCGUGGCUCCACAGCAGCCAGUCACAUGAGCUUCGUGGCGGCUCCACGAUCAUGUGGAGCACGACAUCGACAUGACAACCAGCCCGAUGACCACUGGUGCGGGAACUUCGGUGUUGGAGUGAGCUAAUUCGUCUUCUCGAGCUCGCAGAUGGCUGCCUUUGAAAGCUGCAGGUCCGUUCUUCUCCAAUCUGGUCUGCGAGUCCGUUCCUCCGGCAUGACUGUUUUCUAGGCUUUCCUUAAUUUUGCAGAUGCUUCACAACUCUGUAUUUGAAGAGCUUGAUAAUUGCAAGCAUUUUCUCUCGCAUAUUGCAAAGUAUUAGUGAUGUUCUACAUAGAAGGCUGCAGAGUAUGAUUGGGAUUGCUGUUGGAAAUCACAAAUAUCAGUUAGCUAUCUCUUGCUACAAGUUCAUGAUAUUGAUAAAGGCUUCAGGCUUUUGACA